ACGGGGUGCAGCAGGCGCGAAAACUCCGCAAUACACGAAAGUGUGACGGGGGAACCCCAAGUGCUCUCGCGCAAGCGAGUGCUUUUGUGAAGUGUAAAUAGCUUUGUGAAUAAGAGCUGGGUAAGACCGGUGCCAGCCGCCGCGGUAACACCGGCAGCUCGAGUGGUAAUCGUUAUUAUUGGGCCUAAAGCGUCCGUAGCCUGUUUGAUAAGUCCUUGGGCAAAUCCUGCCGCUUAACGGUAGGAAUUCUGGGGAUACUGUCAGACUUGAGGCCGAGAGAGGUCGGAGGUACUUCUAGGGUAGCGGUGAAAUGCUAUAAUCCUAGGGGGACCACCAGUGGCGAAAGCGUCCGACCAGAGCGGGCCUGACGGUAAGGGACGAAAGCCAGGGUCGCGAACGGGAUUAGAUACCCCGGUAGUCCUGGCCGUAAACGCUGCAUGCUAGGUGUUGCAUGCUCUACGGGGGCAUGCAGUGCCGAAGAGAAGUUGAUAAGCGUGCCGCCUGGAAGUAUAUCGCAAG
Molecule: ribosomal RNA, 519 nt
Filed under: uncultured archaeon
Lineage: Archaea
Description: bacterial SSU rRNA
Rfam family: Archaeal small subunit ribosomal RNA
Source: RNAcentral